AAGAGAACUUUGGGGAGCCUACUGGCUGAGAGUAAACGAAAGUUUUGACCCAUAACCUGAUUUGGAUAAUGCCAACGUAGGAUAAGUUUGAUUCGUCAUA
RNAcentral lists this non-coding RNA (100 nucleotides) under Veillonella sp. oral taxon 780 str. F0422. Its description in RNAcentral is "TPP riboswitch aptamer (THI element)". It matches the Rfam family "TPP riboswitch aptamer (THI element)". From Rfam's summary of the family: Vitamin B(1) in its active form thiamin pyrophosphate (TPP) is an essential coenzyme that is synthesised by coupling of pyrimidine and thiazole moieties in bacteria. Lineage: Bacteria; Bacillati; Bacillota; Negativicutes; Veillonellales; Veillonellaceae. The record is from Rfam by way of RNAcentral. RNAcentral also lists the same sequence under 1 other name.